This 497-nucleotide ribosomal RNA is filed under the name uncultured bacterium. RNAcentral's name for it is "partial 16S ribosomal RNA". It matches the Rfam family "Bacterial small subunit ribosomal RNA", at positions 28 to 507 of the family's 1533-position model. The record is from RNAcentral.
GACGAACGCUGGCGGCGUGCCUAAUACAUGCAAGUUGAGCGCUGAAGGUUGGUACUUGUCCCAACUGGAUGAGCAGCGAACGGGUGAGUAACGCGUGGGGAAUCUGCCUUUGAGCGGGGGACAACAUUUGGAAACGAAUGCUAAUACCGCAUAAAAACUUUAAACACAAGUUUUAAGUUUGAAAGAUGCAAUUGCAUCACUCAAAGAUGAUCCCGCGUUGUAUUAGCUAGUUGGUGAGGUAAAGGCUCACCAAGGCGAUGAUACAUAGCCGACCUGAGAGGGUGAUCGGCCACAUUGGGACUGAGACACGGCCCAAACUCCUACGGGAGGCAGCAGUAGGGAAUCUUCGGCAAUGGACGAAAGUCUGACCGAGCAACGCCGCGGGAGUGAAGAAGGUUUUCGGAUCGUAAAACUCUGUUGGUAGAGAAGAACGUUGGUGAGAGCGGAAAGCUCAUCAAGUGACGGUAACUACCCAGAAAGGGACGGCUAACUACGUG